This 253-nucleotide ribosomal RNA is filed under the name uncultured bacterium. Its description in RNAcentral is "partial 16S ribosomal RNA". It matches the Rfam family "Bacterial small subunit ribosomal RNA", at positions 524 to 776 of the family's 1533-position model. The record is from RNAcentral. RNAcentral also lists the same sequence under 1 other name.
UACGUAGGGUGCAAGCGUUAAUCGGAAUUACUGGGCGUAAAGCGUGCGCAGGCGGUUUUGUAAGUCUGACGUGAAAUCCCCGGGCUCAACCUGGGAAUUGCGUUGGAGACUGCAAGGCUAGAAUCUGGCAGAGGGGGGUAGAAUUCCACGUGUAGCAGUGAAAUGCGUAGAGAUGUGGAGGAACACCGAUGGCGAAGGCAGCCCCCUGGGUCAAGAUUGACGCUCAUGCACGAAAGCGUGGGGAGCAAACAGG